RNAcentral lists this long non-coding RNA (1641 nucleotides) under Homo sapiens (human). RNAcentral describes it as "HSALNT0405150". The record is from RNAcentral. Lineage: Eukaryota; Metazoa; Chordata; Mammalia; Primates; Hominidae.
AGCUCGCCUGACCCUGGCCGCUCGAGCCCCCUCGUCUCUCACUUGCUGUGUUUUCCCCUCUUUUCCCGGGCGUCCUCCGCCUGUAUCCUGGGCCCCCCAAGCAGCGAGCCCCGGUGCCCCCCACCCUUACCCCUCCUCCCCGGUGCCCAGGGCCCGGGAGGGAGAUUGAUGGGGUGUGCUUAUUAAAAAACAUUGUAACCGCCGGGCGCGGUGGCUCACGCCUGUCAUCCCAGCACUCUGGGAGGCCGAGGCGGGUGGAUUACAAGGUCAGGAAAUCCAGACCAUCCUGGCUAACACAGUGAAACCCGGCCUCUACUAAAAAUACAAAAAUUAGCCGGGCAUGGUGGCGGGCGCCUGUAGUCCCAGCUACUCGGGAGGCUGAGGCAGGAGAAUGGUGUGAACCCUGGAGGCAGAGCUUGCAGUGAGCCGAGAUCGCGCCACUGCACUCCAGCCUGGGCGACAGAGUGAGACUCCAUCUCAAAAAAAAAAAAGAAAAAACAAAAAACAAAAAAAAGAAAAAGAAACAUUGUAACCGUUUCUGUUUCUAUUACGUUGACAAGGGAGCGUUAUUUACUGUUACUGUUUGCCCAGCAGGCUGUGCCGGGCGCGGGGGUCUCCCCCGGGAGCUCACCUUCAGGCCGCGGAGGGCGGGGGCCGGGCUGGGGCGCGGGCAGGGGGCGUCGGGCGACCGUGCACCCCGGGGCCCUGCUCCUCGCCCCUUCCCCCACCAGCCCGGCCGGGCCCCGCGGCUGGGUGCGUUGCCGCGGGGAGGGACCUGCAGAGGACCAGUGACUCUCCCGUUGUAGGAGAAAGGCAACAAAAAAUAAAAACGGCACAGAUGACUUCAUUCUCGGGAAGGCUCGGUCCUACAUGGACCAAUUUCCUGGGGACCGUGGUGGAACAGCUUCGCUGCCGUUGGAAGCACUUAAAACUGAACCAGAUAAAGACCAGGACAUUCUGGGCCCUGCUGAACCAAGCCAGGGCAGGCUGCGGGGCGUGUGAUUUCUGGCCAGGUGGGGAGGCGGGUGGCCUCCCUCCACCCUCAAAGGCGCCUGGCUUUCAGUGUCCCAGGAUUCGGGGGCUUGUGGGGAGGUCUCCACUGGGAUCAGAUGGGCCUGAAGGACGCCCCCCACCCUCAAGCCCCUGCUGGGAUGUUAAUCUCAUCCUGCUAAUUAAAGUUUGUGAUUCUCUCCCUAACUUAGCUCCCCACUCUUGGACAUUAUCAGCUCAAUGCAAACAGUUGCUGCUCUGGACAGGGAAGCCAGAGGAAAAAGGCCUCUGCAGUACACGCCAUAACAUGGAUUAAAAAAAAAAUAAAUUGGCCAGGCGCAGCCUGCCUGUAAUCCAGCAAUUUGGGAGGCUGAGGCAGGAGGAUCACUUGAGGCCUGGAGUUCGAAACCAGCGUGGUCAACACGGUGAAACCCAGUCUCUACUGAAAAUACAAAAAUUAGGCGUGGUGGCACACACCUGUAAUUCCAGCUACGGGAGGCUGAGGCAUGAGAAUCAUUUGAACCUGGGAGGCAGAGGUUGCAGUGAGCCGAGAUCGUGCCACUGCACUCCAGCCUGAGUGACAGAACAAGACUCUGUCUCAAAAAAUAAAAAUAAAAAAAUGUUUAUACUUACAAACAACUCCUAGUGAAC